Molecule: long non-coding RNA, 210 nt
Filed under: Elaeis guineensis (African oil palm)
Lineage: Eukaryota; Viridiplantae; Streptophyta; Magnoliopsida; Arecales; Arecaceae
Description: long non-coding RNA (EGUI_LNC007892)
Source: RNAcentral
UGAUUUCAGCGUGCAUAAGAUUUAUUUAAUGAUUAAAAAGCUGAAACUUAAAAUUUAUUUAAUAACUAUGAAGUGAGAUGAUAAUGAUAGUAAUUAAAUAAAUUAAUAAAAAAAGAAGACCCACUCAUCGCUAUUGAUGGCAAUGAAACAGGAACGGAGGAACUUGGGAAGAGGUGGGUUGCAUCUUUUAUGCGAAAGAAGGAUUCACCU